This 521-nucleotide ribosomal RNA is filed under the name uncultured Geobacillus sp. Its description in RNAcentral is "bacterial SSU rRNA". It matches the Rfam family "Bacterial small subunit ribosomal RNA", at positions 8 to 507 of the family's 1533-position model. The record is from RNAcentral. Lineage: Bacteria; Bacillati; Bacillota; Bacilli; Caryophanales; Anoxybacillaceae.
AGAGUUUGAUCCUGGCUCAGGACGAACGCUGGCGGCGUGCCUAAUACAUGCAAGUCGAGCGGACCGAACGAGGGCUUGCUCUUGUUUGGUCAGCGGCGGACGGGUGAGUAACACGUGGGCAACCUGCCCGCAAGACCGGGAUAACUCCGGGAAACCGGAGCUAAUACCGGAUAACACCGAAGACCGCAUGGUCUUCGGUUGAAAGGCGGCCUUUGGGCUGUCACUUGCGGAUGGGCCCGCGGCGCAUUAGCUAGUUGGUGAGGUAACGGCUCACCAAGGCGACGAUGCGUAGCCGGCCUGAGAGGGUGACCGGCCACACUGGGACUGAGACACGGCCCAGACUCCUACGGGAGGCAGCAGUAGGGAAUCUUCCGCAAUGGGCGAAAGCCUGACGGAGCGACGCCGCGUGAGCGAAGAAGGCCUUCGGGUCGUAAAGCUCUGUUGUGAGGGACGAAGGAGCGCCGUUUGAAGAAGGCGGCGCGGUGACGGUACCUCACGAGAAAGCCCCGGCUAACUACGUG